This 570-nucleotide ribosomal RNA is filed under the name Enterococcus gallinarum. RNAcentral's name for it is "bacterial SSU rRNA". It matches the Rfam family "Bacterial small subunit ribosomal RNA", at positions 119 to 676 of the family's 1533-position model. Lineage: Bacteria; Bacillati; Bacillota; Bacilli; Lactobacillales; Enterococcaceae. The record is from RNAcentral.
GGGUAACCUGCCCAUCAGAAGGGGAUAACACUUGGAAACAGGUGCUAAUACCGUAUAACACUAUUUUCCGCAUGGAAGAAAGUUGAAAGGCGCUUUUGCGUCACUGAUGGAUGGACCCGCGGUGCAUUAGCUAGUUGGUGAGGUAACGGCUCACCAAGGCAACGAUGCAUAGCCGACCUGAGAGGGUGAUCGGCCACACUGGGACUGAGACACGGCCCAGACUCCUACGGGAGGCAGCAGUAGGGAAUCUUCGGCAAUGGACGAAAGUCUGACCGAGCAACGCCGCGUGAGUGAAGAAGGUUUUCGGAUCGUAAAACUCUGUUGUUAGAGAAGAACAAGGAUGAGAGUAAAAUGUUCAUCCCUUGACGGUAUCUAACCAGAAAGCCACGGCUAACUACGUGCCAGCAGCCGCGGUAAUACGUAGGUGGCAAGCGUUGUCCGGAUUUAUUGGGCGUAAAGCGAGCGCAGGCGGUUUCUUAAGUCUGAUGUGAAAGCCCCCGGCUCAACCGGGGAGGGUCAUUGGAAACUGGGAGACUUGAGUGCAGAAGAGGAGAGUGGAAUUCCAUGUGU